RNAcentral lists this long non-coding RNA (400 nucleotides) under Callithrix jacchus (white-tufted-ear marmoset). RNAcentral's name for it is "lncRNA (ENSCJAG00000083887.1)". Lineage: Eukaryota; Metazoa; Chordata; Mammalia; Primates; Cebidae. The record is from RNAcentral.
UUGUGCUUCAACCUUGGAAGCAGCAGCCAGACACAGCUAUUGCUCUCAACCACACUCCCAGGACUUUAGGACCUUCAGUCUAAAGGAAUGCUCCAGGUAAUAUUCUUUGGAGGAAUUCAGUAUGUGAACAAUGGUCAGUUUUUAUCGAUGUGAUAAUUUUCUGCCAUUAUGAAGCAAUGUCUAUCGACCUUUGGGUCUCACAGAUGUGAGAUCAUGGAGCAUUCAGCACAUAGUAGGAGCCAAAUGUUUAUAUGACCGAGAUAUUCAAAUUAUGUAGAAUAAGACAAAUAAAAGAUGGACAACUGGAUCAGUACUUGCAUGUAGGAUAACUCCCAAGUUUAUGCACCUUUGUAUCUGGGUGUGAAUCUGGCGGAAGUCAGGUUUGACCAACUAUCCUUGG